GGUUGGGUGCUUGCACCGACUUAACGUUAGCGGCGGACGGGUGAGUAACACGUGGGCAACCUGCCCUGUAGUCUGGGAUAACUCCGGGAAACCGGGGCUAAUACCGGAUGAUACUUUCUAUCUCAUGUUAGAAAGUUGAAAGAUGGUUUACGCUAUCGCUACAGGAUGGGCCCGCGGCGCAUUAGCUAGUUGGGGAGGUAACGGCUCACCAAGGCAACGAUGCGUAGCCAACCUGAAAGGGUGAUCGGCCACACUGGGACUGAAACACGGCCCAAACUCCUACGGGAGGCAGCAGUAGGGAAUCUUCCACAAUGGACGAAAGUCUGAUGGAGCAACGCCGCGUGAGUGAAAAAGGAUUUCGGUUCGUAAAACUCUGUUGUAAGGGAAAAACAAGUACAGUAGUAACUGGCUGUACCUUGACGGUACCUUAUUAAAAAGCCACGGCUAACUACGUGCCAGCAGCCGCGGUAAUACGUAGGUGGCAAGCGUUGUCCGGAAUUAUUGGGCGUAAAGCGCGCGCAGGCGGUCCUUUAAGUCUGAUGUGAAAGCCCACGGCUCAACCGUGGAGGGUCAUUGGAAACUGGGGGACUUGAGUGCAGAAGAGGAAAGUGGAAUUCCAAGUGUAGCGGUGAAAUGCGUAGAGAUUUGGA
This 650-nucleotide ribosomal RNA is filed under the name Lysinibacillus sp. RNAcentral's name for it is "bacterial SSU rRNA". It matches the Rfam family "Bacterial small subunit ribosomal RNA", at positions 70 to 702 of the family's 1533-position model. Lineage: Bacteria; Bacillati; Bacillota; Bacilli; Caryophanales; Bacillaceae. The record is from RNAcentral.